This is a long non-coding RNA of Neofelis nebulosa (Clouded leopard), 475 nucleotides long. RefSeq lists it as uncharacterized. The record is from RefSeq and is a predicted model, not a curated record. The transcript is spliced from 3 exons. NCBI's taxonomy places the organism in Eukaryota, Metazoa, Chordata, Mammalia, Carnivora, Felidae.
AGUAGCAUGUGCACCAUACCAAGAUUAUCAUGAAAGAUGGGACCACAAGAAUUCCUGGGACCAGAUGGAAAGAACUGUGUCAGCUGAGUUAACUGAGAACACAAGGAAUCUGGAUUACUGGAUCCUACAAAUUAGUCUGUGACAGCAUUUAGGAGAGAGACACUGGAGUCAUGCUUCAUCAUUGUGAGCCUCACAUCUCUGGAAGGUUAAAGCCUUAGGGUGGAGCUCUGAAAAUUUUAAACACAAACAGAAGCAGAAGGUGAAGUUCCAAAACAGAAGAAAGCUAAAUUUAUAUAUACAAAUGGCAAGUGUGGCUGGAUGAAGGUCCCGAAAGACAUCUAUUACACAAAGAAGGUGGGUGUGCUGGCGUGGCUUCUUUGAAAAUAUCGCCACCUAGAGGAAAUUAUGAAUCAAAGCAACAUCUGCAAUGCACCACGGAGACUGCAUAAGAGAAGUAUGACAUCUGUAAGAAGAC